AAUUUGUCUACAGGGUGAGUAAAAAAAAACUGAUACCUUUGAUAUUCAAAUUAUAACAAAGGUGUCAGUUUUUUUUUACUCACCCUGUAUAGAGCG
Molecule: microRNA precursor, 96 nt
Filed under: Paramuricea clavata
Lineage: Eukaryota; Metazoa; Cnidaria; Anthozoa; Malacalcyonacea; Plexauridae
Source: RNAcentral